Molecule: long non-coding RNA, 608 nt
Organism: Physeter macrocephalus (sperm whale)
Lineage: Eukaryota; Metazoa; Chordata; Mammalia; Artiodactyla; Physeteridae
Exons: 4
Source: RefSeq, a predicted model, not a curated record
AGGCAAAAGGAUCAUGACUAAGAGUGGUAAUUCACUUCUGCCAAGCCUUCGAUUUCCUCAAGAAUAUUAACAACCGAGCCAAGGACUCAACAGAUGGAAAGUGGCCGUUGAAGAGGAUAAACUAGGAAGACAGGAAGGGAGAUGGCUGGAAGAGGCCAAAAGGGUUAGAACUAAGACUAAGAAGUUUUACCAAUAAAGGAGAAGAAAAGAGUCAGGCAGAGGAGCAAAGCAGAAGUGUAAAUAGUGAAUACGGUCUGGAAUGAAGAUAUUUGAAUCUGAAUGGGUUGAAAAUUAUGCCUCCAAUAGUACAUGUACUGGAAGAGUGGGAAGGAGUUAUUUGAGAGAAUUCAGUGGAAAGUUCUUACGCGGGUCUCUCACUGCUGUGGCCUCUCCCGCUGCGGAGCGCAGGCUCCGGACGCGCAGGCUCCGCGGCAUGUGCGAUCUUCCCGGACCGGGGCUCGAACCCGCGUCCCCUGCAUCGGCAGGCGGAUUCUCAACCACUGCGCCACCAGGGAAGCCCUCAUUAAGUGUUUUUGAUUCUUUAAAAUUUCACCUUUUUUAUGCAAGCAAGAAAUAAUUUUAGAAGUUUAGAUCUAUACAAACUUUAA